GGUUAGAAAGCGAACUUAUUGCCCCUAGUUUCGACCUAGGUCUUGGUAAAUUUUAUUACCUCCAACCA
RNAcentral lists this transfer RNA (68 nucleotides) under Palaemon macrodactylus. RNAcentral's name for it is "tRNA-Arg". Lineage: Eukaryota; Metazoa; Arthropoda; Malacostraca; Decapoda; Palaemonidae. The record is from RNAcentral.